UAUUAUUAAGCGGAGGAAAAGAAAUUAACAAAGAUUGACAGAGUAAGGGCGACUGAAAUGUCAAAAGCUCAGCAUGUGAAUCAAUGCGGACUUUAGUCAGCAUUGAAUUGUGAUCUUGCAAUUAUUGUGCCAACCAGUCCAGACUAUGUUUUUUGGAAUAAAAUAGCACAGAAGGUGAAACUCCUGUUUGUCUGGACUUUCGACGCAAUAAUUACUGAGUCGAGUUGUUUGGGAUUGCAGCUCAAAUGUGGUGGUAAAUUCCAUCUAAAGCUAAAUAUUGGUGGGAGACCGAUAGCGUACAAGUACCGUGAGGGAAAGAUGCAAAGAACUUUGAAAAGAGAGUGAAAGAGUACCUGAAAUUGCUGAAACGGAAGCGAACAAAGCUAGUGACAGCUGCGUUAUUUUGUCCAAUUUGCUUGCAAUUUGGACGCUGUGGCCAGCAAAAGUCCACCUUGAUUCUUGUGCGUGAAAACAGCCACUAAAAGAUUCCAUUUUUGAGGCCACCAACACGCACUGCAAUUGAGCGGGACAAAAUAGAUUUGUUUGUCCCGUCUAGAAACACGGACCAAGGAGUCUAACAUAUGUGCGAGUACUAGGGUAACAUACCUUGGUGCAAAAUGAAAGUGUCAGAGGCUGGAAUAUUUUAUUGCACAGUCCGCCGGCCUCAAUCCCUCGGGAAAAUGGUCUGAGUGUGAGCACACAUGUUGGGACCCGAAAGAUGGUGAACUAUGCUUGAGUAGGGUGAAGCCAGGGGAAACUUUGGUGAAAGCUCGCAGCGAUUCUGACGUGCAAAUCGAUCGUCAAACUUGAGUAUAGGGGCGAAAGACUAAUCGAACUAUCUAGUAGCUGGUUCCCUCCGAAAUUUCCCUUAGGAUAGCUGCAAUCUUUUAUGCCAGUUUUGUCA
RNAcentral lists this ribosomal RNA (904 nucleotides) under Pinnularia borealis complex sp. Its description in RNAcentral is "partial 28S ribosomal RNA". It matches the Rfam family "Eukaryotic large subunit ribosomal RNA", at positions 41 to 1006 of the family's 3401-position model. The record is from RNAcentral. Lineage: Eukaryota; Bacillariophyta; Bacillariophyceae; Sellaphorales; Pinnulariaceae.